Molecule: long non-coding RNA, 1084 nt
Organism: Xiphophorus hellerii (green swordtail)
Lineage: Eukaryota; Metazoa; Chordata; Actinopteri; Cyprinodontiformes; Poeciliidae
Exons: 3
Source: RefSeq, a predicted model, not a curated record
UUUUUGCAGUGUACAGGAAAAAUCCUGCUUCCUUCAUUUGUUUUACUACUUAUUCAGCAAAUUGCUGCUUCGCUGCAACAUCUGCAGAUGAAAGACUUUACUGGUGGAAGCAGGAAACGUUGUUUUCUCCUGAUCCUCCUCCCUACAUCAGGUAGAGCUAAUGACGGGUCUGAGAGUAACCUGCAUAUUAUCCAAUCCCUCACCGCCCUGCAGCGCCGGCGGCCAGCGAAAAACAGGAAAUGCCUGUGCGCUGUUCUCACUGUAUCUGAGCCGCGCUCUCUCUCUCUCCCCUAUAUAUACGCUGUACCUCGAUCGCCCCUCCUCCUCACAGCUACAGUGACUCACAGCUUUUCCUGCCAGCCGACUUUUCUCCCUUUUUCUCUCCUGGCACUUCCACUCCAAAGACAAGAAGGAGGAACUGAGGUAUUUCCUGCCAUUGUGAGGGAUGAUGAGUAGAAGGAGGGAGGGGAAAAGGGAAAAAAAAACCGCUCUGAAAUGGGUCGGAUCGGACCAAAAUGAGGCAGAACGGGCCUGAAACCUCCCGCACGGCUCCGCCCGUUUUCAGUGUUGACGCAGAGUCUGUGGGAGAAGACGUGCUGAGCCCCGGCGGCUGUAACCAUCCUGGAAUGUCUCGCUGCUCAGUCCGGGAAUGUUCCACUUUAACGUCAAAGAUACGACUUCAGAACGAAGCAGUUUAACUCUAAAGCUUCUGAAAGUGUCUUUCCCUCAUCACAUAUACAGAGUUCCCAUAACUCUGUAGUGAUCCGCGCAGAUCAACCGCCAUCUUGGUAGGCAAGCGCAGCGCAAAACCUAGAUGAACCAUGGCUUCCAGACCAACAAAAAGAAAAUUUGGAUUUGGUUGCAGUGUGACGUCACGCCCCCAUCUCCCUGCUGGAGGGUAAAAAGCUGCUGGCUAACGAAGACUACCACUCCCUGACCCCCAUCUGAAUCAGGGUCACAUAUCUGCUUGUCCAGUUUGACUUACAUGCCUGCCCUGUUUGGGACCGGUUGGGGUGCUGCUGGAGCUGCGGGGUGUGGGUCCCAGCAGCCCCCCGCUGCCCAGUAAACCCAGUCUGGCUCCCGG